UGGGGAAUUUUGGACAAUGGGGGAAACCCUGAUCCAGCAAUGCCGCGUGAGUGAAGAAGGCCUUCGGGUUGUAAAGCUCUUUUGUCAGGGAAGAAACACCGGCUCUAACACAGUCCGGGAAUGACGGUACCUGAAGAAUAAGCACCGGCCAACUACGUGCCAGCAGCCGCGGUAAUACGUAGGGUGCAAGCGUUAAUCGGAAUUACUGGGCGUAAAGCGUGCGCAGGCGGUUAUACAAGACAGGCGUGAAAUCCCCGGGCUUAACCUGGGAAUGGCGCCUGUGACUGUAUAGCUAGAGUGUGUCAGAGGGGGGUAGAAUUCCACGUGUAGCAGUGAAAUGCGUAGAUAUGUGGAGGAAUACCAAUGGCGAAGGCAGCCCCCUGGGAUAACACUGACGCUCAUGCACGAAAGCGUGGGGAGCAAACAGGAUUAGAUACCCUGGUAGUCCACGCCCUAAACGAUGCUGACUAGUUGUUCGGGAUUUACAUCCUGAGUAACGUAGCUAACGCGUGAAGUCAGCCGCCUGGGGAGUACGGUCGCAAGAUUA
RNAcentral lists this ribosomal RNA (547 nucleotides) under uncultured prokaryote. RNAcentral describes it as "bacterial SSU rRNA". It matches the Rfam family "Bacterial small subunit ribosomal RNA", at positions 355 to 896 of the family's 1533-position model. The record is from RNAcentral.